CAAAAAAUAGUUUAAGUAAAAUAAUAAUUUUGGAGAUUAUUGAUAGUAAAAGUUAUUUUUUCUGA
RNAcentral lists this transfer RNA (65 nucleotides) under Coniopteryx sp. YW-2016. Its description in RNAcentral is "tRNA-Pro". Lineage: Eukaryota; Metazoa; Arthropoda; Insecta; Neuroptera; Coniopterygidae. The record is from RNAcentral.